Molecule: ribosomal RNA, 253 nt
Filed under: uncultured bacterium
Lineage: Bacteria
Description: partial 16S ribosomal RNA
Rfam family: Bacterial small subunit ribosomal RNA
Source: RNAcentral
UACGAAGGGGGCUAGCGUUGUUCGGAAUUACUGGGCGUAAAGCGCGUGUAGGCGGGCCGUUAAGUCGGGGGUGAAAGCCCAGAGCUCAACUCUGGAACUGCCUUCGAUACUGGCGGCCUGGAGCAUGAUAGAGGCGAGUGGAAUUGCGAGUGUAGAGGUGAAAUUCGUAGAGAUUCGCAGGAACACCAGUGGCGAAGGCGACUCGCUGGAUCAUUGCUGACGAUGAGACGCGAAAGAGUGGGGAGCAAACAGG